RNAcentral lists this long non-coding RNA (891 nucleotides) under Diabrotica virgifera virgifera (western corn rootworm). RNAcentral describes it as "uncharacterized LOC126887733". The record is from RNAcentral. Lineage: Eukaryota; Metazoa; Arthropoda; Insecta; Coleoptera; Chrysomelidae.
GUCAUUGUAGCCGUCAAAUACACAAGAAUCUACAGGUCGAGCAAGUCUCGUAAAUUUCACGAUUGCGAGCCACGCUUCACGCAACCGUGUUUGCGUACUUGUGUUUCAAGUUGCGUGGUCGUACGGAGUUAUAUUUACCAAAUUUACUAAAUAUAAUCGUUUUCAAAAUUAAAUCAAUAUGUCAAUAUGGCUACUGGGUGUAAAAGAUAAAUCUUAUUCUAUCUGUUCUUAAUGAGUUUUAGAUAAUUUUAGUUGUAUUUCUUUGUAAUUUUGUGUUGUACAAAGAUUAAUUUAACAUUUUCUCUGGAAGUAUUAAUUUAGAAAGAUAAUAUGCUUCAUUGGUGUUGUGUUUUGAAGUGUGAAAUGUGAUAAAGUCAAGAUUAAAGUUCACUUUUAAACUGAACUAAAUAAGGUAUCUGAGAGACAACAAUGGUUAAAUGCAAUACAAUGUACAGGUUUUACUAGCGAAAUGAAAAUUUUCCUGUCCUGUCUGCUGUAAUCAUUUUAUAUCUGGAAAACCAGCCGACUUAAUAGAUAAUAACAAUCUCCAGAUUGGGUUCCUUCAAUAAAUAUGGUCUAUAAACACAAUGAAAUAAGUUCCCCAAAAUCUAAAAUGGAGUGGUAUCAAAGGAGAAUUAAAGGGAAAAAUAUUCAUAUUGAAAUUAUUUAUAAGGCACUGGACUGUCUUAAAUUCUACAAUAAUACUAGAAUCAGCUGAGAGAAGUGGUCUAUAAAAAAACCAGGAAGGAAACGGAAUAUGUGGCUACGAAAGGCAAAAGAAAGGUUUACAAAGCAAAUGUGACACAUUUUUUUGAAAUAUUUAGGAAUAUCAGUAAAUUGCAUUAAAAAAAUGUAUGAAAAGAUUUUGUUCAAUAAAAAUGUUUAUAUUUA